UGGGGGAAUAUUGCACAAUGGGGCGCAAGCCUGAUGCAGCCAUGCCGCGUGUGUGAAGAAGGGCCUUCGGGUUGUAAAGCACUUUCAGCGGGGAGGAAGGUGGUGAACUUAAUACGUUCAUCAAUUGACGUUACUCGCAGAAGAAGCACCGGCUAACUCCGUGCCAGCAGCCGCGGUAAUACGGAGGGGUGCAAGCGUUAAUCGGAAUUACUGGGCGUAAAGCGCACGCAGGCGGUUUGUUAAGUCAGAUGUGAAAAUCCCCGGGCUCAACCUGGGAACUGCAUUUGAAACUGGCAAGCUAGAGUCUCGUAGAGGGGGGUAGAAUUCCAGGUGUAGCGGUGAAAUGCGUAGAGAUCUGGAGGAAUACCGGUGGCGAAGGCGGCCCCCUGGACGAAGACUGACGCUCAGGUGCGAAAGCGUGGGGGAGCAAAACAGGAUUAGAUACCCUGGUAGUCCACGCUGUAAAACGAUGUCGA
Molecule: ribosomal RNA, 476 nt
Filed under: uncultured bacterium
Lineage: Bacteria
Description: partial 16S ribosomal RNA
Rfam family: Bacterial small subunit ribosomal RNA
Source: RNAcentral